AUAUUUACCUAGUAGGGGAGACACCAUGAUCAGGAAGGUGGUUUCCCCAGGGCGAGUCUCAUCCAUUGCACUUGGGAUGUGCUGACCCCUGUGAUUUCACCAAAUUUGGGAAACUCGAUUGCAUAAUUUGUGGUAGUGGGGGACUGCAUUCAUGCUCUCCCCUU
Molecule: small nuclear RNA, 164 nt
Organism: Nannospalax galili (Upper Galilee mountains blind mole rat)
Lineage: Eukaryota; Metazoa; Chordata; Mammalia; Rodentia; Spalacidae
Gene: U1
Rfam family: U1 spliceosomal RNA
About the family: U1 is a small nuclear RNA (snRNA) component of the spliceosome (involved in pre-mRNA splicing). Its 5' end forms complementary base pairs with the 5' splice junction, thus defining the 5' donor site of an intron.
Source: Ensembl